This 641-nucleotide ribosomal RNA is filed under the name Curtobacterium sp. I13A-01655. RNAcentral's name for it is "bacterial SSU rRNA". It matches the Rfam family "Bacterial small subunit ribosomal RNA", at positions 88 to 742 of the family's 1533-position model. Lineage: Bacteria; Bacillati; Actinomycetota; Actinomycetes; Micrococcales; Microbacteriaceae. The record is from RNAcentral.
UGGAUUAGUGGCGAACGGGUGAGUAACACGUGAGUAACCUGCCCCUGACUCUGGGAUAAGCGUUGGAAACGACGUCUAAUACUGGAUAUGAUCACUGGCCGCAUGGUCUGGUGGUGGAAAGAUUUUUUGGUUGGGGAUGGACUCGCGGCCUAUCAGCUUGUUGGUGAGGUAAUGGCUCACCAAGGCGACGACGGGUAGCCGGCCUGAGAGGGUGACCGGCCACACUGGGACUGAGACACGGCCCAGACUCCUACGGGAGGCAGCAGUGGGGAAUAUUGCACAAUGGGCGAAAGCCUGAUGCAGCAACGCCGCGUGAGGGAUGACGGCCUUCGGGUUGUAAACCUCUUUUAGUAGGGAAGAAGCGAAAGUGACGGUACCUGCAGAAAAAGCACCGGCUAACUACGUGCCAGCAGCCGCGGUAAUACGUAGGGUGCAAGCGUUGUCCGGAAUUAUUGGGCGUAAAGAGCUCGUAGGCGGUUUGUCGCGUCUGCUGUGAAAUCCCGAGGCUCAACCUCGGGCUUGCAGUGGGUACGGGCAGACUAGAGUGCGGUAGGGGAGAUUGGAAUUCCUGGUGUAGCGGUGGAAUGCGCAGAUAUCAGGAGGAACACCGAUGGCGAAGGCAGAUCUCUGGGCCGUAACUG